RNAcentral lists this long non-coding RNA (5566 nucleotides) under Lathyrus oleraceus (garden pea). Its description in RNAcentral is "Pisum sativum (pea) long non-coding RNA (PSAT_LNC004110)". The record is from RNAcentral. Lineage: Eukaryota; Viridiplantae; Streptophyta; Magnoliopsida; Fabales; Fabaceae.
AAUGAGAAAAAAUUUAUUUUAUUAUUUAUAAUAGAGCAUGAACUUUUAACGCUAUAAAGAUAUCCACUUGCCUUCUAAAUUUUACAUGCAAAGUAGAAAAAAUAUGCCUGAAAUUCUCAAGUUGUUUAAAAAAAUUAUUCUAUACUAUUCUUUAUUCUUUGUCGCAUCACAUGUUGUUGGUAAGCCAAAACUUUCAUUCUUAUAAGAUUUUCUUCUUUAUUUUACGGUUUUUAUUCAAACUAUUAUCAUGUUUUUGUACUAUUAUUUUAUCAUCUUUUUAAAUUAUAGGGGAAGAUAUAAAAUGCGAAACAAAUCUAGAUUGCGUCAAUGUUGGGACCGACACCAUGUAUUUUCUUUGCAUUCGUAACUUGUGUCGUGGUUUUGUUCUCUUUGGUUGAUUCUAUGACUACCGACUACCAAAUCCGUAAGAGUUCAAAAUAUCACAUUAAGGAGAUUAAUCUAGUUAAAAAACUAAACUAAAUGUAUAAAUAUACUUUAUAAAAGAAUAUCUCAUAAGUUGUCAUUUUUUUAUUCUAUGCCUACUUGAUAAUUUUAUAAUUUUAUAGUUUUUCUAUUUCUAAUUUCAUAUAUCUUGCAUCUUCUAUUUCUUUAUUGUAUGCCUACUUUAGUAGUUAGGUUGAACACAAGUUUUUGUUAGAUGGAUUUGAAGUGAACAAGAGUAAACUUGUGUAGUUAUUGUUGGUCAAAAUAAAAGAGAGAUAAAGAGAGUAUGAAGGAGAAACAAGAAAAAAUAAUAGUAAAAAGAAACAAUAAUGGUUAUGAGAACUUUGAGGAGAUGUUAAAUAAUAACCAUUCAUCUUUCUUGUUUUAUUGGCUAUAAAAGCCUUGUAUCUUUCAUUUGUAAUCAUCAGAACAUUAAUUUCAAUAAAUUCUCUUUAGUGUAAUUGAGUUGUGAAAUUUUCAUGAUGAGAGAGGUUAAUGAAUUAAUAUAUUUUAUUUUCAUUAAGUUUUUGUGCUUCCGCGUUAAUUUGCUCUCUACAAAUCUGAUAAUAUGGGGAAAUUUUGCGUAGUUUCUAACAACUGGUAUCAGAUCCAGUGUGGUUGAUUUUUCUAAUUUUUUCUAGUAAAGAAAUUUUAGAGACGAUCCUGAGAAAAUCAGAUUUAAGUGGGGAGUGAUGGCUGCAGACGAAGGAAAAAUGAAAAUUGAAAAGUUCGAUGUGUGUGGACUUAGUUUUUGGAAGAUGCCAGAUUGAAGAUUAUCUAUAUCAGAAAAAGCUACACAACCUCUCAUGGAAACGAACCAGAUUCGAUGAAGGAAGAAUGAGUGGAACCUUCUCGAUAGGCAAGCACUUGGCGUUAUCCGAUUGACAUUAUCUCGAAAUGUUGCUUUUAACAUUGCGAAGGAGAAGACAACCGGCUGGUCUUUUGAAGGCUCUUCAAGCAUGUAUGAAAAGCCCUCAGCAAUCAAAUAAAAUUCAUUUGAUGAGACGGUUAUUUUACACUUCGGAUGACAGAAGACACCAUCAAUUGCACAACAUAUCAAUGAACUCAAUAAUUGUAACAACCCAAUUGAGUUCAGUUGGAAUUGAGUUUGACGAUGAAGUACGAGCAUUGAUACUUUGUCUCCUUACCAGAUAGUUGGAGUGGCUACUGUCACGCAGUGAGUAGCUCGUCAGGAAGUACAAAGAUGAAAUUUGAUGAUGUUCGUGAUCUGGUUCUCAGUGAAGAGAUCAGGCGAAGAGAGUUGGGUGAAUCAUCAUCCUCUUCAGUAUUACAUACAAAGGAAAGAGGAAGAAAUUCAACCAGGGGAUAUGGACGUGGUAAAUCAAAGGAUCGACGAUCCAAAUCCAUAAAUCAUCGUAGUUUCAAUAAUUCGAAGACUAUCGAAUGUUGGAAUUAUGGAAAGAAAUGGCAUUACAAAAAUCAAUGUAGACUCCCACCAAAGAAUCAAGAGGUAAAGGAUGAAGCAAAUGUUGCUUCCACUUCAAGAGGAGAAGACGCGUUGAUAUGCUCUUUGGAGAAUAAGGAAGAGUUUUGGGUGUUAGACUCUGGAGCAUCCUUCCAUGCCACUUCCCAGAAAGAAUUCUUUAAUAAUUAUGUCUCUGGAAACCUCGGUAAAAUUUACCUCGGUAAUGAGCAAUCAUGUAAGAUUGCACGUAAAGGUGUAGUGAAGAUUAAGUUAGGUGGGUCUGAAUGGGAAUUGAAAAAUGUAAGACAUAUUCCCGACUUGACAAAGAACUUAAUCUCAGUAGGCCAGUUGGCUAGUGAAGGCUACACAACAGUCUUUCAUGGUGAUCAAUGGAAGAUUUCAAAGGGUGCAAUGACAGUUGCUCGCGGUAAAAAGAGUGGUACUCUAUUAAUCUCAGUAGGCCAGUUGGCUAGUGAAGGCUACACAACAGUCUUUCAUGGUGAUCAAUGGAAGAUUUCAAAGGGUGCAAUGACAGUUGCUCGCGGUAAAAAGAGUGGUACUCUUUACAAGAUAGUGGGAACUUGUCACUUGAUUGCCGUUGCGAAAAAUGAAAGCCACAAUCUAUGGCACCAAAGAUUAGGCCAUAUGAGUGAGAAAGGGAUGAAGAUCAUGCACUCAAACGGAAAACUACAAGGUCUUAGGUCAAUAGAAAUUGACAUGUGUGAAGACUGUAUAAUUGGAAAACAAAAGUGAGUCAGCUUUCAGACAAAUGGGAGAACCCCAAAGAAGGAAAGGCUUGAGCUUAUUCACUCUGAUGUUUGGGGUCCAACUACCGUCUCAUCUAUUAGCGGGAAGAAAUACUUCGUGACUUUUAUUGAUGACCAUUCCAGAAAGGUAUGGGUAUACUUUCUGAAAUAUAAGUCUGACGUAUUUGAGGCUUUCAAGGUGUGGAAAGCGAUGGUAGAAAAUGAGACCGGAUUGAAGAUCAAAAAGCUCCGAACUGACAAUGGUGGUGAAUAUAUAGACACCAAGUUCAAGAAUCUAUGUUAUGAGCACGAAAUCAGAAUGGAGAGGACUGUGCCAGGAACACCUCAACAGAAUGGUGUAGCUGAGCGUAUGAAUCGAACUUUGACUGAAAGAUCCAGAAGCUUACAUGUGCAGUCAGGCUUACCGAAGCAGUUAUGGCAGAGGCAGUCAACACAUCAGCUUAUUUAAUCAACUGAGGUCCAUCGGUACCAUUGGAGCAUAGAAUACCAGAAGAGGUAUGGAGCGAAAAAGAGGUAAAACUCUCACAUCUUAGAGUUUUCGGAUGUGUAGCAUAUGUGCACAUUAGUGUUCAUGGCAGGAAUAAGCUUGAUCCCAAAUCAAAGAAAUGCAUUUUCCUCGGUUAUGGUGAGGAUGAGUUUGACUAUCGACUAUGGGAUGAUGAAAACAAGAAAAUGAUCCGCAGUAGAUAUGUGGUCUUUAAUGAAAGAGUUAUGUACAAAGAUAGGCAUAACACAAGCACUAAUGAAUCAAAAUUAAAUGACCCAGUUUAUGCAGAGGUUGAUGAUAUCCCAGAAAGUCAUAUAAUUGAAAAUCCUCAAUUAGAGGAAUCAACUGAACAAGCAGUGAGCAACAGUAUGACGCAUCAGAGACUUGUACUCCAACUUCUAUAUUGAGAAGGUCUUCUCGACCUCAUGUUCCUAAUAGGAGAUACAUGGACUACAUGUUGCUAACUGAUGGAGGUGUGCCUGAAGACUAUGCAGAAGCAUGUCAGACCACAGAUGCUAGUAAGUGGGAGCUUGCAAUGAAAGAUGAGAUGAAGUCUUUAAUCUCCAACCAGACAUGGGAACUAGUUGAGUUACCUAGUGGAAAGAGCACUUCACAACAAAUGGGUGUAUCGAGUAAAAGAGGAUCAUGAUGGUUCUAAGCGAUACAAAGCUCGACUAGUUGUCAAAGGAUUUCAGCAAAAAGAAGGAGUUGAUUACACUGAAAUCUUUGCUCGAGUUGUGAAACUCAAUACUAUCAUGUCAGUUUUAAGUAUUGUGGCCAGCAAAGAGCUCUACCUUGAGCAAUUGGACGUGAAGACUUCAUUUCUUCACGGAGACUUAGAUGAGGAGAUUUACAUGCACCAACCUGAAGGUUUCUUAGAGAAAGGGAAACAGAAUAUGGUGUGCAGAUUAAAGAAGCGCUUGUAUGGCCUGAAAUAAGCUCCAAGACAGUGGUAUAUGAAGUUUGAAAGCUUUAUGCACAAGGAAGGUUUCCAGAAGUGCAAUGCUGAUCACUGUUGUUUCUUCAAGAGAUAUAAGUCCAAUUACAUCAUUUUGCUACUCUAUGUCGAUGAUAUGUUAGUAGCAGGUCCAGAUAUGGAUGAAAUCGGAAACUUGAAGAUGCAGUUAUCAAAGGAGUUUGACAUGAAGGAUUUGGGUCCAACAAAGAAGAUUCUUGGAAUGCAAAUCAUGAGAGAUAAGCAAAGAGGAAUUUUGCAGUUAUCUCAGGCAGAGUACAUCAAUCGUAUUUUGCAAAGGUUCAACAUGGGCAAUGCCAAACCGGUUAGCACACCUUUGGCAAGUCAUUUUCGCUUAUCCAAGGACCAGUCUCCUCAGACGGAGGAAGAAAUAGAAUUCAUGGAUAAGAUUUCAUAUGCUUUAGCCAUAGGAAGUUUGAUGUACGAAAUGGUAUGUACUAGGCCAGACAUUGGCCAUGCAGUGGGAGUUGUAAGCAGGUUUAUGGCAAAUCCAGGAAAAACUCAUUGGGAAGCAGUCAAGUGGAUUUUGCGGUAUCUACGAGGCACUAAAAAGAAAUGUCUAUACUUUGGCAAAGGAGAAAUAAAAGUACAAGGAUACGUUGAUGCAGACUUUAUCGGUGAAGUUGAUCACCGAAGAAGUACGAUUGGCUAUAUAUUUACUGUUGGUACUGGAGCAGUUAGUUGGAUAUCGCGAAUACAAAAGAUUGUUGCUAGUAAGGAAUUAAUAUGGCUUCAAGGAUUGUUAACAGAGUUGGGUUUCAUGCAGGAGAAGAGUGUUUUGUAUAGUGACAGUCAAAAUGCAAUACAUCUAGCAAAGAAUUCUGCAUUUCAUUCAAGAACAAAACACAUUGGUCUUCGUUAUCACUUCAUUAGAUCUCUUCUUGAGGAUGGGGUACUAACAUUGAGCAAGAUACAAGGAAGUGAGAAUCCAGUUGACAUGUUAACAAAGGUGGUGACAAUUGAUAAACUGAAGUUGUGCUCUUCUUCAGUUGGCCUGCUAGAAUAAUAAAUUGAUAAACGUUGUUGUUUGACCGCAAGGUGUGGAGACUGAUUAAAAUCACUCUUCAAGUGGGAGAUUGUUGGUCAAAAUAAAAGAGAGAUAAAGAGAGUAUGAAGGAGAAACAAGAAAAAAUAAUAGUAAAAAGAAAUAAUAUGGUUAUGAGAACUUUGAGGAGAUUUUAAAUAAUAACCAUUCAUCUUUCUUGUUGUAUUGGCUAUAAAAGCUUGUAUUUUCAUUUGUAAUCAUCAGAACAUAAUUUCAAUAAAUUCUUUUAGUGUAAUUGAGUUUGUGAAAUUUUCAUGUGAGGAGAGGUUAAUGAAUUAAUAUAUUUUAUUUCAUUAAGUUUGUGUGCUUCCGCGUUAAUUUAUUCUUCCACAAUCUGAUAAUAUGGGGAAAUUUUGCGUAGUUUCCUAACAGCUAUGAGAUACUAAUAAACUAAAAAAAAAAUCAUCUUAGUUAUUUAUAA